This 520-nucleotide unclassified non-coding RNA is filed under the name uncultured Entrophospora. Its description in RNAcentral is "SSU rRNA". It matches the Rfam family "Eukaryotic small subunit ribosomal RNA", at positions 569 to 1089 of the family's 1831-position model. The record is from RNAcentral. Lineage: Eukaryota; Fungi; Glomeromycota; Glomeromycetes; Entrophosporales; Entrophosporaceae.
AGCAGCCGCGGUAAUUCCAGCUCCAAUAGCGUAUAUUAAAGUUGUUGCAGUUAAAAAGCUCGUAGUUGAAUUUUGGGUCUGGCCGGGCGGUCCGCCCUCCGGGUGAGCACUGUUCCGACGCCGGGCCUAUCCUUCUGGUGAGUCGGCAUGUCCUUUGUUGGGUGUGUCGGGGAACCAGGACCAUUACCUUGAAAAAAAUUAGAGUGUUCAAAGCAGGCGUAUGCUCGGAUACAUUAGCAUGGAAUAAUGAAAUAGGACGUGUGGUGCUAUUUUGUUGGUUUCUAGAACCGCCGUAAUGAUUAAUAGGGAUAGUUGGGGGCAUUAGUAUUCAAUUGUCAGAGGUGAAAUUCUUGGAUUUAUUGAAGACUAACUUCUGCGAAAGCAUUUGCCAAGGAUGUUUUCAUUAAUCAAGAACGAAAGUUAGGGGAUCGAGGACGAUCAGAUACCGUCGUAGUCUUAACCAUAAACUAUGCCGACUAGGAAUCGGGCGAUGUUAUUCUCAUGACUCGCCCGGCGCCUU